UUCAAAUCCAGAGGCUUAAAGCUCUAAGCCUCAAGGACAGAGGUUUACAGCUCCAAGCUUUCGGCACUAAAGGC
This 74-nucleotide microRNA precursor is filed under the name Nannospalax galili (Upper Galilee mountains blind mole rat). RNAcentral's name for it is "miRNA (ENSNGAG00000002981.1)". The record is from RNAcentral. Lineage: Eukaryota; Metazoa; Chordata; Mammalia; Rodentia; Spalacidae.